This is a non-coding RNA of Cinara cedri, 485 nucleotides long. The record is from the annotation of a GenBank genome assembly. NCBI's taxonomy places the organism in Eukaryota, Metazoa, Arthropoda, Insecta, Hemiptera, Aphididae.
GUCACAUUCAGAAUUCUCGACACAUUUAUGAGUACAAGUAUAAUAGUACUUUACUUAAAAUUAUUGCUCAGGUACGUUUUUAUUCAUUGGCGAAUAAACACACAUGAUGACACUAACCAUAUAUCGUCCAUAUCCGUUUAUUUUUUGGUUUUAUAAAAAUGUCAUAAAAUAAUAAUAAAAAUAAAAGAACUCGUUUUAUUUAAAAUAUUUAACCGUGCAUAUUAUUAACACCCAGCGUGGAUGUAGUUUCUAUUGCUUUUCGUAACCAUUAUUAAUGUUGAUUUAUACCUAUUAUAUUGUAUUAUGAUCUUAAUAAUUUACGAGUUACGACCCAAUAACAAAGACGACGUGUGUGCCGGAGCACAUUGUGGUACAUGCAAGAUUUUCAAAAACCGUGUACUCACCUUCUUAUACCUUUUACUAUAAUAAUAUUCAACAAGAACGUAUUUCAUAAUAAUAACACGUGUGUGAUGAACAUAAUAUAG